UUUGGCACUGUCACAUUUUUGUGUGUCUAUAAUUCUACAAAAAUUGUGAUAGUGUCAAGC
This 60-nucleotide microRNA precursor is filed under the name Parasteatoda tepidariorum (common house spider). Its description in RNAcentral is "microRNA pte-mir-96 precursor". Its record names the gene pte-mir-96. The record is from miRBase by way of RNAcentral. Lineage: Eukaryota; Metazoa; Arthropoda; Arachnida; Araneae; Theridiidae.